CCUACGGGGGGCAGCAGUGGGGAAUAUUGCACAAUGGGGGAAACUCUGAUGCAGCGACGCCGCGUGAGUGAAGAAGUAUUUCGGUAUGUAAAGCUCUAUCAGCAGGAACGAGACAAGACGGUACCUGACUUAGAAGCCCCGGCUAACUACGUGCCAUUAGCCGCGGUAAUACGUAGGGGGCAAGCGUUAUCCGGAUUUACUGGGUGUAAAGGGAGCGUAGACGGUAGCGCAAGUCUGAAGUGAAAUGCCGGGGCCCAACCCCGGAACUGCUCUGGAAACUGGGAAGCUGGAGUGCAGGAGAGGUAAGCGGAAUUCCUGGUGUAGCGGUGAAAUGCGUAGAUAUCAGGAGGAACACCGGCGGCGAAGGCAGCUUACUAAACUGUAACUGACAUUGAGGCUCGAAGGCGUGGGGAGCAAACAGGAUUAGAUACCCCAGUAGUC
This 441-nucleotide ribosomal RNA is filed under the name uncultured bacterium. Its description in RNAcentral is "partial 16S ribosomal RNA". It matches the Rfam family "Bacterial small subunit ribosomal RNA", at positions 338 to 795 of the family's 1533-position model. The record is from RNAcentral.